This is an RNA transcript of Jaculus jaculus (lesser Egyptian jerboa), 1407 nucleotides long. It is a transcript of the gene named transmembrane protein 82, with no coding region annotated. The record is from RefSeq and is a predicted model, not a curated record. NCBI's taxonomy places the organism in Eukaryota, Metazoa, Chordata, Mammalia, Rodentia, Dipodidae. The transcript is spliced from 6 exons.
ACCUGGCCUGAGGCCGGGACCAUCCCUGGAGGCUGCCAUGUUCUCCCUGCCUUCCCUCCCCUCCUGGCUCCCUGGCCUCCCCUCCCUGGAGUGGGGUUCCAGCCUCCUUGACAGCCUCCUACAAGGUCUGAUUGGGGCCUUUGGAGUCUCGGUUCUGAACAGCUUCCUGAAAGUUUACUUCUUCGUGGCUUGUGCCAACGACCCCCAGCGGCAGCUUGAAAAGGAGCGGCUGCGAGCCCAGUGGGCUUCGCUGGAGACGGUGCACCUGGUGGGCUUGGCCCUGUUCCUAAGUGUGGUGGGGGCCCGGGUGGCCGCCCUGGUGGUCCUGGAGUUCUCCCUGCGGGCUGUGUCCACACUGCUGUCCCUGGGAAAGGGCUCCACCAACACAGAGCGGCUGCAACUCUAUUUGCUGUGCCAAUUCUCACUGGGCUGUGGGCUGACCUGCGGACUGAGCUUCCUGCAGGAGGGCGCCCCACACCGCACCCUGAACCUGCUCCUGAGCCUCGGCCUGGCCGCCCUGCUCAACUGGGGCUCCCGAUGCCUUCGCCGCCACAUCUUCUGUCUCUAUGAGUUACACAGCAGCCAGCGCUACUGCGGGGUCUGCCUGGGCCUGCUGGCCGGCCAGCAUGAUCUCCCCAGGUUCCUGGGCCGCACCUUGGCUGUGGCGUUUGUGGUGGGCGACCUGGCAGCUGUGGCUGUCAUCAACAAGGACUUCCUAAGCACAUCAGAGGCUGUUCGCUUCUGGACACCGCUCACCAUCUGCUAUACACUGCUGGUCAUCUACAUGCAAGGGAGCCAUGCCAGUGACGGACGCAUCCCGCAGAGGAGCAGCGGCAGCAGCGUUUCAGCCUGCAGAGCCAGGUCCAGACGGUGCUGGUGCGCAUGGGCGGCCUCUUCGUGCUGCUGCUGACCGUAGGCCGCUGGCUGGACCUCCUGGGCAUCCUUAUCUCCCUGCUGGGAGAGCUCUGGUGCCUCACAGGGGUCCGCACCCUGAUUGACCUCUGCCAGAUACAGGGCUUUCCUUCCCCAAGGGCAGCAUCAACAGCAAGGACAACUCCACACCAGCACCAGCCCUCCACACCUGCCCAGCCCCAGAGCCCAGCCCCCACCUGACCUGCUGCGCAGAGGACACAGACUGACCAGCAAGGCCUUGUCCCCGGGAUGUGGCAUGGAGACCAAGUGACAGGGUUGGACCCCGACUUAGAACUUGGCACAGAGGACCUGGGAGGGGGGGGGACAUGGUGAACUCCUCUUUGCUCAGGGUGACAAUGGAUACUGUUCCCUCAGACCUGUCUUUCCAGGCAGGGCUGGCAGAUGCAGGACAGCUAUACUCUCAGAAUGGCUUUCUUGCCCCUUACCCCAGCCCCCCCUUGCCCUUCCCACAAACAAUAAAGAUAAUUUUCUCAA